CUCUUAUCAAGAGAGGUGGAGGGACUGGCCCUUUGAAACCUCGGCAGCGGACACUUUUGCACCGUGCCAAUUCCAGCAAGCGAUUAAGCUUGGAAGAUAAGAA
This 103-nucleotide non-coding RNA is filed under the name Rummeliibacillus stabekisii. RNAcentral's name for it is "SAM-I sequence". It matches the Rfam family "SAM riboswitch aptamer (S box leader)". From Rfam's summary of the family: The SAM riboswitch is found upstream of a number of genes which code for proteins involved in methionine or cysteine biosynthesis in Gram-positive bacteria. The record is from Rfam by way of RNAcentral. Lineage: Bacteria; Bacillati; Bacillota; Bacilli; Caryophanales; Caryophanaceae.